RNAcentral lists this ribosomal RNA (407 nucleotides) under uncultured bacterium. RNAcentral describes it as "partial 16S ribosomal RNA". It matches the Rfam family "Bacterial small subunit ribosomal RNA", at positions 30 to 526 of the family's 1533-position model. The record is from RNAcentral.
AUUGAACGCUGGCGGCAGGCCUAACACAUGCAAGUCGAGCGGAGCGGCGGACGGGUGAGUAAUGCCUAGGAAUCUGCCUGGUAGUGGGGGAUAACGUCCGGAAACGGGCGCUAAUACAGCAUACUAUCAGAUCAGCCUAGGUCGGAUGAUCUAGUUGGUGGGGUAAAGGCCUACCAAGGCGACGAUCCGUAACUGGGCUGAGAGGAUGAUCAGUCAAACGUGAAGUGAGAGACGGUCCGUACUCCUACGAGAGGCAGCAGUGGGGAAUAUUGGAGAAUGGGCAAGAGCCUGGUCCAGCCAUGCCGCGUGAGUGAAGAAGGUCUUCGGAUUGUAAAGCACUUUAAGUUGGGAGGCGUUACCAACAGAAUAAGCACCGGCUAACUUCGUGCCAGCAGCCGCGGUAAUAC